This 351-nucleotide long non-coding RNA is filed under the name Heterocephalus glaber (naked mole-rat). Its description in RNAcentral is "lncRNA (ENSHGLG00000038926.1)". The record is from RNAcentral. Lineage: Eukaryota; Metazoa; Chordata; Mammalia; Rodentia; Bathyergidae.
GGGCACACCUGUCUCCCUAGGCUCCUUGUGGUCAGUAACAUAAGCUCCCCUUGACCCCUUCAGGCCAGGUUUCCUCAGCCCUGGACAGAUCCCAGGGGCUCAAGGCUUAGCUGGCCAGCCACAGGGACACCCAGGACACCCUGCUGCCUAUAAUUCCUGGAUCAGGACUAAGCUCAGGAGUGGUGAUGGAGCCACCCAACACUCCCGCCUUGGCAUCCCCGCGGCAGCAACAAAGCACCAGAGAACCCUAGACAACAGGUGGCUGACCCCCACCCCUGAGUCCUUGGGGCCUUGCUGGAGGGAGAGCAGUGGCCCCUGUGCAUGGUUACAAAUGAAGACACCAAAGCACAG